GACGAACGCUGGCGGCGUGCUUAACACAUGCAAGUCGAACGGAAAGGCCCUGCUUUUGUGGGGUGCUCGAGUGGCGAACGGGUGCGUAACACGUGAGUAACCUGCCCUUGACUUUGGGAUAACUUCAGGAAACUGGGGCUACUACCGGAUCGGAGCUCCUGCUCCAUGGUGGGGGUUGGAAAGUUUCGGCGGUUGGGGAUGGACUCGCGGCUUAUCAGCUUGUUGGUGGGGUAGUGGCUUACCAACGCUUUGACGGGUCGCCGGCCUGAGAGGGUGACCGGCCACAUGGGGACUGAGAGACGGCCCAGACUCCUACGGGAGGCAGCAGGGGGGAAUAUGGCACAGUGGGCGGAAGCCGGAUGCAGCAACGCCGCGUGCGGGAUGACGGCCUGCGGGUUGUAAACCGCUGUCGCCUGUGACGAAGCGUGAGUGACGGUAAUGGGUAAAGAAGCACCGGCUAACUACGUG
This 468-nucleotide ribosomal RNA is filed under the name uncultured bacterium. RNAcentral's name for it is "partial 16S ribosomal RNA". It matches the Rfam family "Bacterial small subunit ribosomal RNA", at positions 28 to 507 of the family's 1533-position model. The record is from RNAcentral.